AAUACCGCGUAAUAACUCCGAGAGGCAUCUCCUGGGGUUUAAAGGGUAACACCGGCUACGGAUGGCCAUGCGGCGCAUUAGCUAGUUGGCGGGGUAACGGCCCACCAAGGCGACGAUGCGUAGGGGUUCUGAGAGGAAGGUCCCCCACACUGGUACUGAGACACGGACCAGACUCCUACGGGAGGCAGCAGUGAGGAAUAUUGGUCAAUGGGCGCGAGCCUGAACCAGCCAAGUCGCGUGAGGGAAGACGGUCCUAUGGAUUGUAAACCUCUUUUGUCGGGGAGCAAAAGACGCCACGCGUGGCGUUCCGAGAGUACCCGAAGAAAAAGCAUCGGCUAACUCCGUGCCAGCAGCCGCGGUAAUACGGAGGAUGCGAGCGUUAUCCGGAUUUAUUGGGUUUAAAGGGUGCGCAGGCGGAAGAUCAAGUCAGCGGUAAAAUUGAGAGGCUCAACCUCUUCGAGCCGUUGAAACUGGUUUUCUUGAGUGAGCGAGAAGUAUGCGGAAUGCGUGGUGUAGCGGUGAAAUGCAUAGAUAUCACGCAGAACUCCGAUUGCGAAGGCAGCAUACCGGCGCUCAACUGACGCUCAUGCACGAAAGUGUGGGUAUCGAACAGGAUUAGAUACCCUGGUAGUCCACACAGUAAACGAUGAAUACUAAUUGUUCGGGGAGAAUGAUCCCUGAGUGAUACAGC
RNAcentral lists this ribosomal RNA (691 nucleotides) under uncultured bacterium. RNAcentral describes it as "bacterial SSU rRNA". It matches the Rfam family "Bacterial small subunit ribosomal RNA", at positions 165 to 852 of the family's 1533-position model. The record is from RNAcentral.